This 592-nucleotide unclassified non-coding RNA is filed under the name Hevea brasiliensis (rubber tree). The record is from RNAcentral. Lineage: Eukaryota; Viridiplantae; Streptophyta; Magnoliopsida; Malpighiales; Euphorbiaceae.
CCUGCCAUGCAAGCGCACCUGUCAUGGCAAAGGUCGGAUGACAAAGAUAUUAACCGAGGACUUCAAGCCCCCCAUGAAUCAAACAAUACUGGGCUUUUCGUCCUGAUAUAUCUUAUACAUCCAUAUGUCACAAAACCCAUCUCCUGCUAUCCACAUCAAUCAAUGAAUUACAUGUCUUCUUAGCCUCAUAUAAUUGCAUGAUAUAAAGGCUACCCAGCAAAGAUCAGAACCAGUGAUCAAGUACACGCAUGCAUAUAGAAGUUCCAGCCAAAUAAAUCAACACCACCAGGAGGAAAUAAACUGCAAGCUGAAUAGAACCCAUGGUCAUCCUUUUUUGACAUAAACGCCACAAAACCCUUAAAAGGAUCCAUGCAGGGAAAAUUUGAAGCAGCAGGCAACAGAACCAUGACAAAUCUGCUACUUGUCAAACCAUAGAUUCAAACGACCCAAUUCAGAUUACCCAUGAAACUACCAUCAGUAUGCAGAUCAAAGAGAGAUCUACACGACAGCAGAAACCAUGGACCUUGAAGAGAAUCCAUGAAGACGAGAUCUGAUUCAAAGAGAUGAGCAGAAUAGGAAGCAGAUAACGAAG